This 1598-nucleotide long non-coding RNA is filed under the name Lathyrus oleraceus (garden pea). RNAcentral describes it as "Pisum sativum (pea) long non-coding RNA (PSAT_LNC011081)". The record is from RNAcentral. Lineage: Eukaryota; Viridiplantae; Streptophyta; Magnoliopsida; Fabales; Fabaceae.
UAAAACCUCUUCUUUUGUUUGGGGCUAAAAUAGAGAAAACCAUGCAUACGUCACCAUUUGCUUUCUUUGAGCUUGGCGCCAACAAACACUGUGAUGGAAGAAAACGAUAAUUGGUGUUUUUGCAGAGGUGGAAUCGAUGAAGAAGAAGACGACAACGCUGUUGCGUUCUUCAUGAGAGGAAGAUGAUUAAACUAUGCGGUAUUGGGAAGAGUAACAUUUUAGGUAUUUUACUAUCUAUCAAUAUCAUUCACACACUUCAAAUUUUGUUUUUUUUUCUACGGAAACAAAUUCCGAUCAAUAUUGAGUGUAGGUACGGAUUAGUUCAUUUUAUCUUAUCUAGUGACAUAAAUUUUGUGAAAUUGAUUAGAAGAAGUUAUGAAAAUUACUUAUAACAUUUUUAACAGGCUUUUUUUCAACUUAUUUUCAUAAGUUUUUUAAUGUAAAGUAUGAAAAGAUCUUAUAACAUAUGCAAAAACAAUUUAACAUGAUUUUAUCACUCAAACAAAUGGAAUACAGUUGUAUAGUUAAGGCAUUGAUUGUAUAAAAAAAUCUCUCAAUCCAAACAAAAGAAAGAAAGUGCAACUUCACGUCGUCAAGCCCCUAAAACAGCAAUAAGGAAAGAACAACUGGCCCAGUGUAAUAACAAAAAGGGCAAAAUGUUACAUCAAAAUAAAGCAAUUUUAAGGUUCAGUUAUUAACACACUUGGUAAAUAUCAGACUGUGGUGGAAGCAGCUUCUGAUUUGGGAUCAGUUUCCACGCAAACACAAUCCAUAGCCAUCCCUACAGAACCGCGUCCAAACCACUUGUAUGGACUUCCAACUGACAAUGCAUGAAACCAUACCCGCUGCAUUGCAGUCAAACAAAAUAAAGAAAUGUAAUUGCCUUCUUUCUUUGUAACUAUGAGUAUGAACCAAAUAUAAACUUUUCAUAGUAUAAUAAAUAUGAACUUACUCUGGAUUACGUUAGGAAUCUGAUAGCAACUCCAUCACACAGAUGGGAUGCCGACUGUGUUCCUUUAACGGGAUCAACAAGAUUGAAGUUUAUGGGUCCUUACUUGCAUAGUUACGCCUUAAAAUCCCUUGUCCAACACAAAGAAGUUAAAUCAAUGCAAAUGGAGAGGAUUGACUUUCCGCACCAAGAAUUCUAAGUGUCCUCAUCACAAGCUCACACUUGUUUGAAAGGAAGAACCGACAACCUUUGUCCAUUGCUCACACAUGGUUUGUUNCUAGUGUCCUGCAUCACAAGCUCCACACUUGUGUUGAAAGGAAGAACCACAACCUUUGUUCCAUUGCUCACCAUGGUGUUGUUUGGUGGGUUUCCAGUAUAAUUGAAUGGGUGCAAGGGACUGCUUGGAAAAUAAGGGGCGUAGACCCCCCUGGAUUGCCCAAAGAAGUGAGAUUGGAGAAGUGCAGUGGUUGGGAGUGUGAAAGAUACAUUGUUCACUGAUGCUGCAAACAUUGUUCCAUUGGGUCCCUGACAAGUUUGGUUUUUCUGACAGGGAUUUGUGCCGAGGCCUACCGUGAAGAAAAGGCGCUUAUCAACUUUCUGGGGAACGUUAGCUGGAAAUAAGACACUAGCUAGGCUACGGAGUUUGUUG